RNAcentral lists this ribosomal RNA (661 nucleotides) under Opisthioglyphe ranae. RNAcentral's name for it is "SSU rRNA". It matches the Rfam family "Eukaryotic small subunit ribosomal RNA", at positions 148 to 761 of the family's 1831-position model. Lineage: Eukaryota; Metazoa; Platyhelminthes; Trematoda; Plagiorchiida; Telorchiidae. The record is from RNAcentral.
UGUAGUAAUUCUAGAGCUAAUACAUGCCACUAUGCCCUGACCCGCAAGGGAACGGGUGGAUUUAUUAGAACAGAACCAACCGGUUGUGGCUUCGGCUGCUUCCGUUGCACUCUGUGAUGACUCUGGAUAACUUCACUGAUCGCAGUCGGCCUUGUGUCGGCGACGGAUCUUUCAAAUGUCUGCCCUAUCAAUUUUCGAUGGUAGGUGACCUGCCUACCAUGGUGAUAACGGGUAACGGGGAAUCAGGGUUCGAUUCCGGAGAGGGAGCCUGAGAAACGGCUACCACUUCCAAGGAAGGCAGCAGGCACGCAAACUACCCAAUCCCGGCACGGGGAGGUGGUGACGAAAAAUACGGAUACGGGACUCGUAUGAGGCUCCGUAAUUCGAAUGAGUACAAUUUAAAUCCUUUAACGAGGAUCAACUGGAGGGCAAGUCUGGUGCCAGCAGCCGCGGUAACUCCAGCUCCAGAAGCGUAUAUUAAAGUUGUUGCAGUUAAAAAGCUCGUAGUUGGAUCUGGGUCGUAUGGCUACGUGCCGUUGCUCGCAUUCUCGGCUUGGUUUCGACUAGGUCAAGUUUGUGGGUCGGUGUCGUGGCUGUGCAGCCUUUCUGCCGUGUCUGUUUCGACAGGUGCUGACUUAAUCGAUGGGCUUGUCUCGUUGGU